This 76-nucleotide transfer RNA is filed under the name Acidobacteriota bacterium. RNAcentral describes it as "Acidobacteria bacterium tRNA-Ala". It matches the Rfam family "tRNA". Rfam says of the family: Transfer RNA (tRNA) molecules are approximately 80 nucleotides in length. Their secondary structure includes four short double-helical elements and three loops (D, anti-codon, and T loops). The record is from RNAcentral. Lineage: Bacteria; Pseudomonadati; Acidobacteriota. RNAcentral also lists the same sequence under 1 other name.
GGGCGGCUAGCUCAGCUGGGAGAGCGCGGCGUUCGCAAUGCCGAGGUCACGGGUUCGAGCCCCGUGCCGUCCACCA